This 253-nucleotide ribosomal RNA is filed under the name uncultured bacterium. Its description in RNAcentral is "partial 16S ribosomal RNA". It matches the Rfam family "Bacterial small subunit ribosomal RNA", at positions 524 to 776 of the family's 1533-position model. The record is from RNAcentral.
UACGAAGGGGGCUAGCGUUGCUCGGAAUCACUGGGCGUAAAGCGCACGUAGGCGGAUCUUUAAGUCAGGGGUGAAAUCCUGGAGCUCAACUCCAGAACUGCCUUUGAUACUGGGGAUCUCGAGUCCGGAAGAGGUGAGUGGAACUCCGAGUGUAGAGGUGAAAUUCGUAGAUAUCCGGAGGAACACCAGUGGCGAAGGCGACUUUCUGGGACGGUACUGACGCUGAGACGCGAAAGCGUGGGGAGCGAACAGG